AUAAAGUAUCUCUGUGCAUGUGCGCAAGUCUCUGGCAUGUUUUAGGUGAUUUUUGCGACAAGUGCAUGUCUGUUAAUCGCUGUUGUGUGUUUUUUUGGUUUCAGACGAGUCCGACGCGAGUGAAGGCUCUGCCCCCUGGCUGUAACCGCAGACGGCUGAGACCCUCACCGCCCGAUCGCACUUCGAUACACACACACACACACGCGCACCCACACUCCCCUCACAGACCGUCUUAAAUAAAGAUUUCUCCACGAAUAACACUAAAGCGGCCUCCUGUGUGUAUGUGCUCCGCCCACCGCUGGCUAAAUUCCCUACAAAAGUUAUAUUUUAACCCCUUUUGAAACCUGUAGACUGCUUCUGUCUGUGUGUGUGUGUGUGUGUGUGUGUGUGUGUGUGUGUGUGUGUGUGUGUAUGUAUAUUAAGGUCGUUGAGUGAAACCUCCAGCUGCUGCCCACCACACCCCACGAUGAACCUUCAGCUGUCGCUCUGUCAGUGGACAUUAGGAGAUACUUCCUUGACAUGAGAAGGGGUCUAGAGCGUCGGUUCUGCUUGUUUAAAACCACCCAAACCUGCUACUCAGAUCAGGAGGGAUUCUCUUAUCAUGUCAACACAGAGGAUUGUUUCACUGGCAUACAGUGUGUAUCUGGGAGGGUUACAGAAUUCAUUUCUUGUAACCGCAGGAGCUGUCACUGUGCCACUUGAGGACCAUGUGCAACCCUUUGAAAAGGUGACCUGCAUGUACCUGUUUGUGGGAGCAAAUGGUCAGGUGAACACCUCCACUUGGGUUCAGGAUCAUGAAGAUAACUCUCUCUACAAUGAUUCAGAGAGUGAACCAGACUCUGAGGAGAAAUAGGAGAGCCUUAACUUUUUGGAGUUGGAGGUGCCCUUUAUUAGCUACCAUCUAUCAGAGAGAGGGGUUACUGAUAUCGGCCUGAAGCUGUGUGCUCUCCGUAAGGCGUUCUCGACUCUGCUUGCCAGCAUCCACAACCAGAACUUCCUGUUUGUGGUGGGAAAGAAGAUAGUGAUGCGUCUGGCAGCAGCUAAUAACCAGGAUGUGGUUGGUGUGCAGCUGGCCUAUGUGUCACUGAUUCGAUUCCUGAGAACUUCUUCCAAUCAGGAAUCGAUUGUGACAGAGCUCUUCGGGGCCCAGCUGCACCACUACAACUUCUCGGACAUGUUUUACGAGCUGCUUCUCUUCAGAUACUUGACAAACAACUCAGCUCCUGAGGCUGUAAGUGUCUUAUCAGAUUUCAAAGUUAUUCUUGAAUGUAGUUAAAGAACAUGGAAUAUUUU
This is a long non-coding RNA of Ictalurus furcatus (blue catfish), 1293 nucleotides long. RefSeq lists it as uncharacterized. Lineage: Eukaryota; Metazoa; Chordata; Actinopteri; Siluriformes; Ictaluridae. The record is from RefSeq and is a predicted model, not a curated record. The transcript is spliced from 10 exons.